This is a long non-coding RNA of Oryzias melastigma (Indian medaka), 1039 nucleotides long. RefSeq lists it as uncharacterized. NCBI's taxonomy places the organism in Eukaryota, Metazoa, Chordata, Actinopteri, Beloniformes, Adrianichthyidae. The record is from RefSeq and is a predicted model, not a curated record. The transcript has 2 exons.
UCAUCUGCUCUCUUUGCUCUGUGGUUGCUUCCUCUGAUAACAGUGGCCCUGAAGCCAUCGCCCCCCUCCCUCCCACAGACACUAAAGUAAGAACAGCAGCAGCAUUCAGCAGAGCUGAGGAAAAGUGGAACGAAUUGUGCCUUCCAGCAGAAUAGCCUGGAGAGGGGUGUGUGCGAUCUUUCUGCUCGCCCUGCUGUUGCUGGAGCCCGAUUAUUAGAGCUGCAGCUGCUCCUGCAUGACAACAGUAAACGCUGCAUAAAGACACACUCCAACAGAAGUUGUUUUUACUGUAUUUUUAUGGCAUUUUUCUCUUAAUGAAGGACGUAUGUAGGGAAAGUUCAUCUCAAAACUACAGUAUUUCUUCAUUUAAAUCGUGGUUAAAUGAGAAGCAGAUGAAAAAAAUGAGAAAGUCUGUAGCUGUGAUGCAUGUGCUACAGUUGGCGGGCUACAAGCUUCUUGCUCUGCUCCAUUCCGAUGCAUCUUCUUUUUGACAAAUAGAUCCAUGUUCGUCUUUCUUUUCCUCGUCUGAGCUGGCAUCUGGCACAAAACUGCACACCUGAAUAGCUCCAACAUUGCUCGCCAUUUUUGUUGCACCACUAAUGUUAUAUCAGGUGUGUGAGGGACUGUAAGCUGACGGGAGAGUGCGAAAAAAGAUGGAUAAUGGGAAAUGCGGGCGGGCUCGCUCCAUGGUAGCAGUUUUGUCCUCAACUCAGAGGUGAAUUUCUAAUGAACGACUGCUGCUCUGCAGAAACUACGUCCUAGAAAACACUUUGAAAUUUAGUCUAAAAGUAGUGUAAUAAUAACUAAAAGAACACUGGAAACAAUUUAUAAUAGAUUCAAAGAUGAUGGGAGUUAGAGUUUAAGGGCAUCCUCCUUGUUUUUUCUCCCAUGUUCUCUCAAACAAAGACCAAAACACACUGCAGUUGGUACAUUUUUCCAACUAAAUGAUAAAGAUGGAAAAAUGAAUAUGGGUUAAAUCAGGAUUAGUUUGAAGUGAAUGAAAAACAAAAUGUGAGUUUAAAAUAAAAAUAAAAUAAAA